Molecule: ribosomal RNA, 383 nt
Filed under: uncultured eukaryote
Lineage: Eukaryota
Description: partial 18S ribosomal RNA
Rfam family: Eukaryotic small subunit ribosomal RNA
Source: RNAcentral
CAAUGGCGUAUAUUAAAGUUGUUGCAGUUAAAAAGCUCGUAGUUGGAUUUCUGGUGGGAGCGAUCGGUCUGGCGCUUAGCGCGAGUACUUGCAUCGUCUCCGGCCAUCCUUGGGGAAAGUCUGUCUGGCAUUAAGUUGUCGGGCAGAGGAUCCUCAUCGUUUACUGUGAAAAAAUUAGAGUGUUCAAAGCAGGCUUAUGCCGUUGAAUAUAUUAGCAUGGAAUAAUAAGAUAGGACUUUGGUACUAUUUUGUUGGUUUGCGCACCAAAGUAAUGAUUAAUAGGGACAGUUGGGGGUAUUCGUAUUCCGUUGUCAGAGGUGAAAUUCUUGGAUUUACGGAAGACGAACUACUGCGAAAGCAUUUACCAAGGAUGUUUUCAUUAA